Long non-coding RNA from Puntigrus tetrazona (Sumatra barb), 345 nucleotides. RefSeq lists it as uncharacterized. The record is from RefSeq and is a predicted model, not a curated record. Lineage: Eukaryota; Metazoa; Chordata; Actinopteri; Cypriniformes; Cyprinidae. The transcript has 3 exons.
AGAGCAAGAGGAGUUUAAAGCCAAACUGUCUCCAGAGCUGGCUGAGCGAUAUAGAAAUGUCUUCACAAAUAAAGCAGUAGCAGUGACCUGCACUGGAAUGUCUCAAAUUGGACUUUUUAAGGAAAGUAGAGUAAAGGAUCUGCCUGUCAUCAUGAUGCCCAUGGAAGUCACAGACAAUGUUGGGCAGAGGAUUGGAACUAUACAACCUUUGGAUAUUGUUAUGGAAGUGGAUACCACAACAAGGAUUGUUAGAGCUGAAGACUGAAUCCGGAGCUGAAUACUAUUGCUAUGCACAGCAUACACACCGGAGAGCUACUGCAAAAAUAGUAGAAUGAUAGUAUGGCA